Cyprinus carpio (common carp) is the source of this 488-nucleotide non-coding RNA. The record is from the annotation of a RefSeq genome assembly. NCBI's taxonomy places the organism in Eukaryota, Metazoa, Chordata, Actinopteri, Cypriniformes, Cyprinidae.
CACUUCAUGACUGAGAGCAGAACAGAACACAAUCUUCAUCAUCACACAAGACACAACAACAACAAUGAACAACAUCAUCAUCCUCAUCUGGACCACUGCAGCUUUUAUUCAAGAAUCCAGAGGGGUCACUGUGACUCAGCCUAAAGUUAAAACUGUCCAGCUCGGUCAAACAGCUUCAAUAGAGUGUAAUAUAGAUGUAGGAAUAUACAGCAACUACUUAGCCUGGUAUCAGCAGAAACCUGGAGAAGCCCCUAAACUCCUCAUUUAUUACAUAAACACCCUCCAGUCAGGAACUCCAUCUAGAUUCAGUGGCAGUGGAACUAGCAACGGAAAAGAUUUCACUCUGACCAUCAGUGGAGUCCAGACUGAAGAUGCUGCACAUUAUUACUGUCAGAGUGUACAUGAAAUCAACAGUGACUAUGUGUUCACACAGUGAUAAAGAGUGGUACAAAAACCUCGGUCAGUCAGAGUCACAGUGACUGAACUGA